UUUCCGUAGGUGAACCUGCGGAAGGAUCAUUAACACUUUUUUGGUUUCAAAAAAAAACACCUGUACGAACUGUAUUUCUUUUGUUGUUUGAGAAGGAAAAAAGAUAGGGAAAAAAACCUUCUUUUUCUAGGUUUUCCACCUCUCUCUAAUCUCUCUCAUACACAAUUUUUUAAAAAAAAACCCCUUUAACCAAAAACUUUUAAGAACUUUAAAAAAAAAUAAAAAAAAAAUGAUUUUAUUUCUAAAUAAUAGUAAGAAAACAACUCUUAACAAUGGAUAUCUUGGUUCUC
RNAcentral lists this unclassified non-coding RNA (290 nucleotides) under plant metagenome. RNAcentral's name for it is "partial contains small subunit ribosomal RNA, internal transcribed spacer 1, and 5.8S ribosomal RNA". The record is from RNAcentral.